UACGGAGGGGGCAAGCGUUAUCCGGAAUCAUUGGGCGUAAAGCGUACCGAUAGGUGGUUUAGAAAGUUUUGGGUAAAAGCCAGAAGCUCAACUUCUGAGUUUGCUCAAAAUACUUCUCAACUAGAGGGGCAAAGAGGUCCUUGGAACGAACGGUGUAGUAGUGAAAUGCGUUGAUAUCGUUCGGAACACCGAAAGCGAAGGCAGAGGACGGGGUGCCACCUGACACUACUAGGACGAAAGCGUGGGGAGCGAAUGGG
Molecule: ribosomal RNA, 257 nt
Filed under: uncultured bacterium
Lineage: Bacteria
Description: partial 16S ribosomal RNA
Rfam family: Bacterial small subunit ribosomal RNA
Source: RNAcentral